This 492-nucleotide ribosomal RNA is filed under the name uncultured bacterium. RNAcentral's name for it is "partial 16S ribosomal RNA". It matches the Rfam family "Bacterial small subunit ribosomal RNA", at positions 29 to 507 of the family's 1533-position model. The record is from RNAcentral.
AGUGAACGCUGGCGGUAGGCCUAACACAUGCAAGUCGAACGGCAGCACAGUAAGAGCUUGCUCUUACGGGUGGCGAGUGGCGGACGGGAGAGGAAUACAUCGGACUCUACUUUUUCGUGGGGGAUAACGUAGGGAAACUUACGAUAAUAUCGCAUAUGAUCUACGGGUGAAAGCAUGGGAUAUUCGGAGCUUGCGCGAUUGAAUGAGCCGAUGUCGAAUUGGCUGGUUGGCGGGGUAAAGACCCACCUAGGCGACGAUCGGUAGCUCGUGUGAGAGACGGGUCAGCCACACGAGAACGGGAACACGGUCCAGGCGCCUGAGAUACGCAGCAGUGUGGAAUAGUGGACAAUGGGCGCAAGUCUUGUCCAGCCAUACCGCGUGUGUGAAGACAGCCUUCGGUUUGGAAAGCCCUUUUGUUGGUAGAGAAAAGCAGCAGGUUAUGACCCCGCUUUUCUGACGGUACCCAAAGAAUAAGCACCGGCUAACUUCGUG